GUCUACGGCCAUACCACCCUGAACGUGCCCGAUCUCCUCUGAUCUCGGAAGCUAAGCAGGGUCGGGCCUGGUUAGUACUUGGAUGGGAGAUCAUAUUUACUAUCACCC
This 108-nucleotide ribosomal RNA is filed under the name Heterocephalus glaber (naked mole-rat). The record is from RNAcentral. Lineage: Eukaryota; Metazoa; Chordata; Mammalia; Rodentia; Bathyergidae.